This 1693-nucleotide ribosomal RNA is filed under the name Kurtus gulliveri (nurseryfish). Its description in RNAcentral is "16S rRNA". The stretch from base 110 to 1581 matches the Rfam family "Bacterial large subunit ribosomal RNA". Lineage: Eukaryota; Metazoa; Chordata; Actinopteri; Kurtiformes; Kurtidae. The record is from RNAcentral.
AGCUCAACAGCUAGCCCGACCAUACAAAAACAACCAAACAAAUUUAAAUAACCCCAAAAACACUGACCACAACUUAAAACAAACCAUUUUCCCUCCCCAGUAUAGGCGAUAGAAAAGGACACACGAAGCUAUAGAAAAAGUACCGCAAGGGAAUGCUGAAAGAGAGAUGAAACAGCCCAGUAAAGCAUUAAAAAGUAGAGACCAAACCUCGUACCUUUUGCAUCAUGAUUUAGCCAGUAACCCCCAAGCAAAAAGUAUUUUAGUUUGACACCCCGAAACCAGGUGAGCUACUCCAAGACAGCCUAUAAGGGCGAACCCGUCUCUGUCGCAAAAGAGUGGGAAGAGCUUUGAGUAGAGGUGACAGACCUACCGAACCUGGUUAUAGCUGGUUGCCUGAGAAACGAAUAGAAGUUCUGCCUCCUGCGUUAUUUUCUCCCCGAUGGUUACUCCCACCCCUGACAAAAAGUAAACCAAGAGAGUUAGUCAAAAGGGGUACAGCCCCUUUGAAAAAGAUACAACUUUAAUAGGAAGGGUAAAGAUCCUAGUACAAAACUAAGUAACUGUUACUGUGGGCCCAAAAGCAGCCAUCAAAAAAGAAAGCGUUAAAGCUCAAACAGAUACACCACUAUUUCUCCCGAUAAACACAUCUUAUCCCUCCAAACCUAUCAGGCCAUUCUAUGCACCCAUAGAAGUGACUAUGCUAAUAUGAGUAAUAAGAGAAAACUAGAAUCUCUCCCCGCACACAUGUCAAUCAGAACGAACCCGCACUGAAAAUUAACGGCCCCAAACAAAGAGGGAACAGAGUAAUAACACUGAAAUACCAGAAAAACACCCAAUAACACCAAACCGUUAACCCCACACUGGUGUGCUAACCAGGAAAGACUAAAAGAAAAAGAAGGAACUCGGCAAACACCUCUAGCCCCGCUGUUUACCAAAAACACCGCCUCUUGCCCAAAAAGAAUAAGAGGUCCCGCCUGCCCUGUGACUUACGAGUUUAACGGCCGCGGUAUUUUGACCGUGCAAAGGUAGCGCAAUCACUUGUCUUUUAAAUGAAGACCCGUAUGAAUGGCAUAACGAGGGCUAAACUGUCUCCUUUCUCAAGUCAAUGAAAUUAAUCUUCCCGUGCAGAAGCGGGAAUAACAACAUAAGACGAGAAGACCCUAUGGAGCUUUAGACAAAACACAGACUGCAUCAAAUAGAUUAAAAAUAAAUAAACCUAAACCAAGCAAUCCCUGUCCAAUGUCUUUGGUUGGGGCGACCGCGGGGAAACAAAAAACCCCCACGUGGAAUAAGAGUACUCCUCUUUAAACCAAGAGCCACAGCUCUAAAAAACAGAAUAUCUGACCAUAAAGAUCCGGCAUGACCGAUCAACGGACCGAGUUACCCUAGGGAUAACAGCGCAAUCCCCUUCUAGAGCCCAUAUCGACAAGGGGGUUUACGACCUCGAUGUUGGAUCAGGACAUCCUAAUGGUGCAGCCGCUAUUAAGGGUUCGUUUGUUCAACGAUUAAAGUCCUACGUGAUCUGAGUUCAGACCGGAGCAAUCCAGGUCAGUUUCUAUCUAUGUAAUGAUCUUUUCUAGUACGAAAGGACCGAAAAGAAGAGGCCCAUACUAAAAGCACGCCUUCCCCCUACCUAAUGAAAACAACUAAAAUAGAUAAAAGGGCAUACCUACCAAACCUGAAAAAACGGCAC